This 272-nucleotide ribosomal RNA is filed under the name uncultured bacterium. RNAcentral describes it as "partial 16S ribosomal RNA". It matches the Rfam family "Bacterial small subunit ribosomal RNA", at positions 28 to 300 of the family's 1533-position model. The record is from RNAcentral.
GAUGAACGCUAGCGGCAGGCCUAAUACAUGCAAGUCGGACGGGAUUGGAGAGCUUGCUUUCCAUGAGAGUGGCGCACGGGUGCGUAACACGUAUGUAACCUACCUUGUUCAGGGGGAUAGCCUCUCGAAAGAGAGAUUAAGACCGCAUAACAUUAUUGAAUGGCAUCGUUUAAUAAUCAAAUAUUUAUAGGAACAAGAUGGGCAUGCGGAACAUUAGCUAGUUGGUAAGGUAACGGCUUACCAAGGCUACGAUGUUUAGGGAUCUGAGAGGA